CUUUCCUGUUUUUAGCUAUAAAACUUACUAUGUAUUUUAUUAAUGCUUUCUCUCCCAUUAUUUUAAUUAAUUUCUUUUAAUCUCCUAAAGACAUUACAGAUUAUAAACAUUUAGGUGAAAUGUUUUUGUUAGUACUGAUUAAAAGAUAUUUUUUAUCUUAAUUGUAUAUACUUAAAAAGUGAACGAUGACUGAAACAUAAUUUUUUAAAAAUGUUAUGAAAAGAGAUCUGAGAAGGGUAAAAGGAAACAUGUUUUUAAUUGUGUUUCUGCAAUGAUAGCUGCUACCUAGGGCCAUGGUACUGGACCAGAGCUCCACUUAUCUGACCCAAGAAAACUUGUUUUAUUACUAAGAAUAUUCCCUUAUCACUUUCUUGGGUAUUAUAGGUUCAAUCCAUCCUCAGGAGUUCUCAUUCAAACUCACCCAUGUCUCACCUCAUACUAAACUCUCUUUCACUGGAAUGAACUAGGGAUGGUAGUAACGGGUAGAACACAGAUAUUGUCUACUUCAAUCCAAAAUAAAAGAUUCUUUGUUUGCCUCAUUAUUAAUCGGAUAUUUAUUUAAAAAAUAUUUAUGUAUAUUUUAAAAAAUAUUUUAUAAAUUUGUAAAAUAAAAUUUAAAUAAAAUUAAAAAAUAUAAAAUAUAGUAUAAAUCAAAAUUUGAUUUUAAUUAAAGUUAAUUUAAUAAUUAUAAAUUAAUUUUAAUUUAAUUUAAUUUAAUAAAAUAUAAAUUAAAUUUUAAUUUUAAUGUUUUGUGUAUAUAUUUAUUAUGAUAUAUGAUAUUGAAAUACUUAUUAUAUAUUAUUAUUGGUAUAUAUUUAUUAUUCUUUAUAUCUUUUACCAUCUCUAAAAUGAUCCUUGAGAGAAAAACUCACUUAAUUUUUUUAAAUAUAUUUUUCUCGUCCAAAACAUGACCUUUUUAUUAUUUUAUGACUAAUAAAAACUUACUUGUUUUAGAAAAAUAAUGAUAGAUAAGAGUAUUUCCUUUUUUAUUUUUUAAUUCCAUAUGAGAACUUUUUUCAUACGAAACUAUAAUAUAACCUCAUAUAACUUUUGAUUUGGGUAGGAACUGAGGUUUUUUAUUCAAAGUAUUCCAAGUUGUUUUGAAGAUUGGAUAAAUUCUCUAAUGGGUCUUCCUUAAUCUAAGUUAUGUUAUUCACUCUCCCUACUCCUUAUUCAAAUCAUGCGAGUGGAAAUCUAUCAAAGGUGUUCCAACAUUCAAGUUAGUAAUAUGACCGAUUGGUUAACAUAACAAGGAAUGCAUAUUAUGUGCAUGAUGGUCUAAAAUCAUACUUAGGAUCUUUAUUUAUAGUAGUAGGGAUGAACCUUUAUCUUUUGUGUUUCUACUGUGUGGGUCUCCGGGUUAAUCCGAGUCGUUCUUCUUUACCGACCGCCCGUCUCAGUCCUCCGGGUGGCGUUGUUGAUCCUCCGAGUCGAGAGUCCUCCUGUUACGUUCGGCAGGAUACCUGCUAAAGGCACUCCGACGCUGAAGUCAAGGUUAAGUUUUUUAUAUUAAAGAUAGAGAUAGAGAGAGAAAGUGAAAUAAAUGUGCAUUAAAUGUGUCCGCCUACCUCUUACCUUUGACUCCUAUUUAUAGUUUUUCUCAUGGGCCAAUGAUUAGUGGGAACUUAAUCACGGCCCAAUUGCAGGCCUGUUGAGGCUAAUUUAGUUUUACCUUAAUCUCAAAUGCUUAUGAUACCUUAGUCUGUGAACUCCGCCGGCCGUCCCUAUUGUGUUUAACAAGAAAAGAUUUGACGUUGGUCAUCACUCUCGAUCCUACAGUAUGCCGGUGUCCCAAGUUCUGAUCGGCACUGACGCAAUGACGCAUCUGAUCGUUCGGUCUUCCUGCAGCUGGAUUCUUACGGACGCGUUCGUGACCGGCUAUGAUUAUUGACAGUCAUGCGGACGUGACGGCGAAGUGAGGUUCACCGCCUAGGUCAUAUAUGUUUCGUCUCUCAGGAUUUUUAGAGAACAUGUGAUGGCGGGGCUUCAUGAGAAUUCUUUAAGGUUUUUCUUACAAACAGAGGUUACUCCCGGCCCCGAGAUCGGACUCCACCGUGGUGUUUUCUCGGGUUGAGGCGUACCGCCCGUUCUGGUUAUCCCUACGAUCGUUUACCUGCCUUUGCUGCCAGAACGGGGAUCCGUGGGCCGUGGCCGUUUGCCGGACCGGACCUUCUCGUGGCCGGGUAAGGUCCGGUUGGUUAUGUAGGGUACAUUUUGUUAGCCUAAUAAAAGCCUAAUCACAUUCUAAUAUGCAUCAAGAGCUUAACGAGUCAUUAUUAUUGAUAAUCUGACCAUGUUGUGUCCGAUCAAUCACAUUGUUCGAUCAUACUAGGCGAUAUAGUAACUCGAUGCAGAGGAGCUUGACCUUGAAAGAGAAUGCCUUGAAUGGAUGGUUUGGAUGGACGACCAGGAUGGUCACUCUGAAUUGAUGGCCUGGGUGGACGGUAAGAUAAUGCCAAAUCAUACUGUACCGUACAAAUUUAAUAAAAUUAAAAAUAAAAUAGUUUAUAAUUUAGUUUAGCACAAAAACAACUUUUUUUUUAUAAUAAACUUAAUUGCUUAUUUGAUCCCUUCAAAAGUUUUUUUCUAUUUAAUAUCUGCUUUUAAAAAUAUCUAUAUUUAAUUAUACUGUGAUAUAAAUUAAUCAAUAGAUAAAUUGAUAGAAAUGAAAUUAAGUUAGUGGUGACUUAACAACAAAAGUCUUCAACUUUUUUCUCUCUCUUCUAUGCUCCUCUGUCGUGUCCCUAUCAAUGUUGCUUCAAAUGACACUUUUAUGUUAUUUCAUAAAUGUAAUGCAAUUAUUACUUAUUACUGAUAUUUAAAGUUUAAUAAUUUACUUAUUCAAAAACCUUUCUUUUACUAACCAACGUAACCUAAAUAAACAAUAUUAAACUUUUAAAGACAAUAUUAAUUUUUUAAAGAACAUUCUUCCGCUAACUGUUAUGUUUAUAUUUAUUAUUAUUAUUAUUAUAUUAUUAUUAUUAUACAUAUUUUAAGAUAAAAAAAUGAAAUUAAUAGUAUGAUAAUAUAUAUUCAUAAUAUUUUAUACUAAUAAUAAUAAUAAUAAUAAUAAUAAUAAUAAUAAUAAUGAUAAUUUUAAAAGAAGUAAAGUAAAAAAGUUAUUCAAGUUGUAAUGACCUUAAUUUUUUUUAUCCUAAUAUAUAAAAUAAACUUUUAAAAACCCUUUCUACUUCAAUUUCAGAAAAACUGAUUCUCUCUCUAGAAACAAAAUACCCCAAAAUCCUCUACCUUCUCACUACACUAAAUCUAAACUGGAUCAUUCAAUUUCUGAUCAGAAAGUUCCUGAGCGUUCCUGGAGCUAAAAGCUACAUUCUAGGCCGAUUGAAUUUCUUGUUCUUUAACGGGUAAGUAUAAUUCCUUUCUUAGUACAACUCUAGGGUCUUGAUCAAUCCUUGGUCCUUGAUGCAUGUGAUUCUUAGCAUUUUCUUACAAUUUCUAGUUUCAAAUAGGUUCUGAAUUUCUCCUCAAUUUCCCAAUUCUUGAAUCCUUAGGUAAUUCUAGCAAUAUCUUCUGGUAUCGCGUACNGUAGAGCUCCUUGGAGAAUCUGCUGUUGCAUUGAGGUAAGGGGAGUUAGUUUUGAGUGUUGAUUGUAAUUGAUUGUAGGAAUAUAUUCUGAUCUUGUGUGAUAAAAUGGAAUGCAUGCGUAUGAAGAAAUUAUUUCCUGGAAAUUGAUGUUUGAGCUAAAAUUUUAGUAUGAAACUGUUUGCACUGUGUAAUGUACAAUGGGUAUUUAAUUUAUGAUGAAUAAUUGUGUAUUAGAUUUAUUGUGAUAGAUGUACUAUUGGAUUCUG
This 3812-nucleotide long non-coding RNA is filed under the name Vigna radiata. RNAcentral describes it as "long non-coding RNA (VRAD_LNC001550)". Lineage: Eukaryota; Viridiplantae; Streptophyta; Magnoliopsida; Fabales; Fabaceae. The record is from RNAcentral.